CUCCAGAGCUGCAUAGGUGGUUCUUAGUAGCACUUGAAGAGCUUGGUGGUGCUCAUGGUGUGUCUCGAACCAAUUUAUUUUUAGUACUAUUUGUCACGCAAACUUGAACUCAGUGAUCUAAUAGCUGCUCUAGGGGAGACCACUGGGAAGCCUGCUUUUGAAAGGGUUCUUGAAAUAAUGAAGAGAAGUCCCAAGGGCAGGGUGGCACCUCUGCUGUUUCAAGCAUUUUCAACUAUUCCAUACAUUUCACAAGUUUCAUUUAUCGGAACAGAUGGUUUGUUCUUAUCAUACUACAAAUGCCGUAUAUUCCAACUACUCAUUGCCUAUCAACCGAAAAAAGCUCAACAGUGUACACAUGGUACACUCAUCCAGUUGGUCGCAACACUGGAAUGCCAUACGGAGAAGCUAUGAUUACUCCUCCGAGUACUACAAAUGCAACUACAGACAGAUGAAGUGGUCUCUGUAACAAUCUGCAUCAAACCCACAAGUUUCCUCCAAAGGUUAUUUAUGUGCAAGCAAAAUUUCUUGAUACAUAUUAAUUUCAAGAUCUUAAUUUGUCCAAGUUAAAGUCAUCUCACAACGGAAUGCAAAGCGAUUGAUUGGGUUAACAAUUAUAAUUUUGUGAGUUUUAAUUAAUUUCAUCUAUUUAUUCAUUGUGACAAUCAUUUUGUGUAUUGUACUAAAAAUUGAUGGUGAUGAAUAAAAUGGUUAACCUGAAUUUUACUUUGUAUAGCAAGCUGUUGGAAUAAUAGUUUCAAAACUCAAUGCUCUGUUUCAUCGAAAGGAAUGGACUUUGGUGCCAAUGGAAUAAAACUGUUUUAUUUUAAGGGUACUAUCAUGACAAUUUCGAAGGACAGGGUGAAACCAUCUCCUCUGCCUGAUAGCUGGAAGCUUGCUGAGAUUUUUACCACUGGUAUUGUUCUUGGUAGUUACUUGGCAAUGAUGACAGUUA
Molecule: long non-coding RNA, 952 nt
Organism: Daucus carota subsp. sativus
Lineage: Eukaryota; Viridiplantae; Streptophyta; Magnoliopsida; Apiales; Apiaceae
Exons: 4
Source: RefSeq, a predicted model, not a curated record